AUUGAACGCUGGCGGCAGGCCUAACACAUGCAAGUCGAACGAGUGGCGGACGGGUGAGUAAUGUCUGGGAAACUGCCCGAUGGAGGGGGAUAACUACUGGAAACGGUAGCUAAUACCGCAUACCAUCGGAUGUGCCCAGAUGGGAUUAGCUAGUAGGUGGGGUAACGGCUCACCUAGGCGACGAUCCCUAGCUGGUCUGAGAGGAUGACCAUCCACACUGGAACUGAGACACGGUCAAGACUCCUACGGGAGGCAGCAGUGGGGAAUAUUGCACAAAGGGCGCAAGCCUGAUGCAGCCAGUCCGCGUGUAGGAAGAAGGCCUUCGGGUUGUAAAGUACUUGCAGCGAGGAUGCGUUACUCGCAGAAGAAGCACCGGCUAACUCCGGGCCAGGAGCCGCGGUAAUUC
RNAcentral lists this ribosomal RNA (406 nucleotides) under uncultured bacterium. Its description in RNAcentral is "partial 16S ribosomal RNA". It matches the Rfam family "Bacterial small subunit ribosomal RNA", at positions 30 to 526 of the family's 1533-position model. The record is from RNAcentral.